CCCUGAGUAACGGCGAGCGAAAAGGGAAGAGCCCAGCGCCGAAUCCCCGGNNNNCCCGGUCGCGGGAAAUGUGGCGUUUGGGAGUGAGCGUGUCGGGCUCGGAGGCGGCGGCAAGUCCCCCUGACCGGGGCCUAUCCGUAGCGGGUGCGAGGCCCAUAGCCGCCGCGGCCGUCCCGAAUGCGAUCUCCUCGGAGUCGGGUUGCUUGGGAGUGCAGCCCUAAUCGGGUGGUAAACUCCACCUAAGGCUAAACACCGCCGUGAGACCGAUAGCAAACAAGUACCGUGAGGGAAAGUUGCAAAGAACUUUGAAGAGAGAGUUCAAGAGUACGUGAAACUGCUCAGAGGUAAACGGGUGGGCCCUCGAAAUCCUGUGGCGAGAGGAUUCAGUCUGCGUCGUUCGGCGUCUGGGGGGAAGAAAUCCGAGCAGGGCUUCCGCGGACGCGGGCCGUCCCCGCAGACGAUCCCCCGACCGUCGCAGACGCAUUUGUCUCUCGUCCCGAGGACGCUGCAGCCGGUCUGGGAGUGCAAGCGCGACGGCCUGAAGGUCGGGAGCCGGAAGGUGGCCGGUGGCCCGCCCCCGUGCGGGUCGCCGGUUGUUAGCCGUCCCGACAGUGGCUCGUCUCCAGACCGUGGUGUCGCGAGUCCCCUUCCGGGACUCCUCGUCUCCACCCCCGCGUCGCGGGACAGGGCCCGGCCAGGGUCUCCGGCGCCGGCCGUCGCACUCUCGAGGAGUGGGCGGACGGGCCCGAGAGCCGAAUCGCCGGGACGGACCCGCGGGGGACCGGAGGCUGGCAGCGAGUAGGUCGGUCACCCACCCGUCCCGUCUUGAAACACGGACCAAGGAGUCCAACAUGUGCGCGAGUCAAUGGGUCUUGAACAGGCCCAUGGGCGCAAUGAAAGCGAAGGACCGCCCGGCGCGGUCCGAGCGGGGAUCCGCGGCCCCCGGGCCGCGGCGCACCCGCGACCCGUCCCGUCCGGCUCGCCGGUGGGGCGGAGUCCGAGCGUACACGUUGGGACCCGAAAGAUGGUGAACUAUGCCCGGACAGGACGAGGCCAGAGGAAACUCUGGUGGAGGUCCGCAGCGGUUCUGACGUGCAAAUCGAUCGUCAGAUCCGGGUCUAGGGGCG
This 1127-nucleotide ribosomal RNA is filed under the name cf. Maeota sp. Panama. Its description in RNAcentral is "eukaryotic LSU rRNA". It matches the Rfam family "Eukaryotic large subunit ribosomal RNA", at positions 77 to 925 of the family's 3401-position model. The record is from RNAcentral. Lineage: Eukaryota; Metazoa; Arthropoda; Arachnida; Araneae; Salticidae.